GGGAAUUUUUUAUUGGGGCCUAAACAAAAAUAAAAAGUUUUCACGAGAAAAAAAAUAGAAGAAAAUUAGUGCGUUUUUCGCUGGUCAGGAAGCGCCAUGAACGGACUAAGUUUGAGCGAGCUGUGCUGCCUUUUCUGCUGCCCCCCCUUCCCAGGGAGGAUCGCAGCAAAACUAGCGUUCCUGCCACCGGAGCCCACCUACAAAUUCGUGCCGUGCGACGAAGCCAAUACAAAGUACAGGAUUCAGUAUCUGGAUAGGGCAGAAUGGCAAUUUGGGGAACGAGACAAAGACACCGUGGAGAGCUUUUUCACGCGCACAUCCCGCGGGAAUCUCAUCCCGUGCAUCUUCAUCAAGUGCAGCACAAAUGCCAAGUACACCCUCCUCUUCUCGCACGGGAAUGCCGUGGAUUUGGGACAGAUGAGCAGCUUCUACAUGGGCCUGGGUUCACGGAUAAAUUGCAACAUUUUCAGCUACGACUACUCCGGGUACGGCAUCAGUGCUGGGCGCCCCAGUGAAAAGAAUCUCUAUGCGGACAUUGAAGCCGCCUGGCAUGCCCUACGCAAUCGCUACGGCAUCAGCCCGGAGAAUGUAAUCCUCUAUGGGCAGAGCAUCGGCACUGUGCCCACCAUUGACAUUGCCACAAAGUACGAAGUGGGUGCCGUCAUUCUGCACUCACCCCUCAUGUCUGGGAUGCGUGUGGCUUUCCCCAAUACAAAGCGCACGUGGUUCUUUGAUGUAUUCCCGAGCAUUGAUAAGGUUUCCAAAGUACAGAGCCCCGUGCUCGUCAUUCACGGCACGGAAGACGAAGUUAUUGAUUUCUCACAUGGAAUUGGAAUCUUUGAGAAGUGCGCCAAAGCCGUGGAGCCCCUGUGGGUGGAUGGAGCUGGGCACAAUGAUGUAGAGCUGUACAAUCAGUACCUCGAUAGACUGAAGAAAUUCGUCUCGGUGGAACUUGGUAACUGACAAUCACUCGUUGCUCCUGAUAGCAGGAGCAAAUGGAUUCCCAAUAAGCCUCAAAUCUUCUAUUCGUAUAAAUAUCCAGAAAACAGUGACUAUCAUAAAUACAAAGAUUCUUCGUCAUCAAGCGAUUCAGUAAUAGAACCAAAUGAAGACUUUCCCUAACAUCCGGAUCCCGGAACUACCGGGAUCAAAAGAAGUUUUAUCUCAAAAAUCACUGGCGGCAGCCAACAAACAAAAAAAUCCCCCAAGUCUCAAAAGUCUCCCAAACUACAAGUAUGCCUCUAUGGUGACACAGGCGUUGCCGCAAAAUUAUCCGGUCAAGCAACAUCGACAUCGUCGAGUAUUCCGCCGCCACCCCCGCCGGCCAAGAAGCCCAAUUCUAACAAACCCAAAAAAUGCACGUGUGUCUAUAAGCGUCAAACCCUCGCGGAAUGCAUGUCCCCGAGCACAAUUUCCACUGAGAAGCGUCAGAGUGUCCCAUCGCCAUUCCACAAAGGACAACCAUCAAAGGAUACCUCAUCUCCAUGCAUCUGCCGCGCUUCGCAGAGUGGAACAGGUAUUAUGUAUCAUUCAGAUAUGGGAUCGACCCCAAUAAUAGUAGAUAUGUCAACAAUUGAAGUACCCCCACUCGUGAUCAUCGAAGCCCCUGGAUUUGUAUCGUAUCCAUCACCCAAAUCCAAACCCAAACCAGCACCCACUCCACAGGUAGAGAAGAGCACACUUAAUGCAGCCACAGUUGCCACAAGUCCCAAAUUGGAGGCAAAACCCAAGCCGAGCCCAAUGAAGGAGAAUCCCAAUCGUGUCCUAGAAAAAUCCAAUAGUCUUGGUGAAAAGAAACCCCCGAGAGUUCUCCGGAACACCCGGAGCCUGUCGCCACGACCUCCCGUGAAGCAUCAACACGCCAUAACGGUGUCAGAUGAGAAUGACGUUGUUUCAGUGAAGUUAUCACCAAAUGAUGAAUUUAUCGAAGAAGCUGCAGCGAAGAAUGAUGCAACAAAACCAUCCCCGAAUAAAACUUCCCGAAGUCAGAGAGCUUCUCCAAACAUCUUAGAUGGUGGACGAUUAGUAUAUGAAGAUCGUUUUGCCAAUAAUCGCUCAACUGGAUGUCUUGUCUACGUGCCAUCAGACCCCUGGCUGAGGAUUUCCGAUGAGGAAGACACGGGGAAUACACUGGGGAAGAAGAAGAAGAAAAAGAAGGAUACAAAGCGCGUGGAAAAAUCAUUUAGUCGCCCAAAUAUAGCUUCACUCGACAGUGAUGAUCCGUGGGUGUGGAAGGGUCCAGGGGAUGCAGCUGCACGUAAGAAAGCAGCCUAUCGUCAGUCAAAAUCACUCCAAUCCACAGCAGCGGAAUUCUCAUCGCUGAAACUCCUCCCGGCGGGUAAGAAGGACAUUGCAGCUCGUCCGAAACUUCAACGCUCCAAAUCUCCAAUUCAACUCAAUGAACCCGAAGAUGCGGCGGGACAAAAGGGUGCAACUCUUGGGGUCACGAGUGCCAAUCAUCUUCUACCACGACAUAGUUUUUCCACGAGCCCAACACAGCGCGAUGAGGAGCUACAGCUAAACAUUCGUCGCCUCAGUGAGCAGAUGCGACACACACCAGCCUACAACACUGCCUACGAGGCAAGGGAUCAGCAGGAGAGGCGACGGGCAGCAUCACCACUACCACCACCGCCGCCGCCACCGCCUGCACCUCCUGCAGAUCCACUCCUCGAGACGACGUGCUAAGGAGUCGCCCCGGAGGUUCCCCCAAUGUGAUUCCGAGGGAGACAUUAUAUACUAACGACUU
Molecule: RNA transcript, 2746 nt
Organism: Lutzomyia longipalpis
Lineage: Eukaryota; Metazoa; Arthropoda; Insecta; Diptera; Psychodidae
Gene name: serine/arginine repetitive matrix protein 1
Exons: 3
Source: RefSeq, a predicted model, not a curated record